CAAUGAUGAGCACCUUCAUUUACCUCCAGAAGGAAACAGCUGUUGUGGUGCCAUGUAACAGGUGGUGUAAUCUUGCAGAGCCACCAUCAUUUAUUUCUUGGAAGGAGCUAUUGCAGUGCUCACUGCAGAGUUGCCAUGGAGAUCUGCUUCUGUGUUUCACAAGAAUCGGACAUUCUAAUCAGAGUAAACGGGCUAUGCAACAAGGAAAGGUGUAGGGCAUGAAUUUUGUCUAUCAGGGCACAUUUAUGAAUUAAGUCAGCCCAUUAUAAAAUUGCAACUUCCAUGUGCUGUUACAUUUUAAGUGGAGAUUUAUCUCCAUAAACAUUUCUUAAUAUUAUCAAUGUUGAAAACACUUUUUCACUUUUUUCCAGGAUUAUUUUAUGAAUAGUUAGUAUUUGUUUGAAAUAAAAAUUAUACAUAUGUAUAAUAAGUUACAGUAAACCACUUGAGCAGUAACCACAGAAUAUAUAAUCUAUCAAUAGCUCUAUCCACAUGUAGUUGUCUAACUCACUGAAACAUUUUGAUGUUCUGUGAAGACCAGAUUUUAUGCUGUACUCCAUACUUAACAAUGUGUGAUGACAGAGAACUGACAACCUAAACAGCCAUUAUUCAUCAGAGGAACCACUAGUAUCCAAGCAUAAAAGAGGCAGAAAGCUUGGAUGGAGAUGCAGAAUGACAGUAGGGCUUAUCAAACACUUUCUGCCUCUCUCUUUCUCUCUCUCUCUCUCUCUCUCUCUCUCUCUGUUUAUUUAUUUAUUUAUUUAUUUUCCCUACAACUGUGGACAUUUUAUUCUAUUCAAAGUACUGUCACUUAUAUGUAAAGAAAAUGUAAAACUGAAAUUUUUUUCUUUCAUUUUCUGGUUGGUGACACAUGGGUUAUAUCUCUUCUCAUCUCGUUCUAGUUCAAAGAUACAAUACUAAGUAUUUAUUUCUGUAACAAAAGAACUUUGGCCUGAGGUUUUUCAUAAUGGGAAAGUCUUUCACACAUGAAGUAAACAUCAGCUCUCUUGUACUUCAUCUUUUAUAU
Long non-coding RNA from Cyprinus carpio (common carp), 1027 nucleotides. RefSeq lists it as uncharacterized. Lineage: Eukaryota; Metazoa; Chordata; Actinopteri; Cypriniformes; Cyprinidae. The record is from RefSeq and is a predicted model, not a curated record. The transcript is spliced from 3 exons.